RNAcentral lists this ribosomal RNA (332 nucleotides) under uncultured bacterium. RNAcentral describes it as "bacterial SSU rRNA". It matches the Rfam family "Bacterial small subunit ribosomal RNA", at positions 568 to 898 of the family's 1533-position model. The record is from RNAcentral.
CGUGUAGGCGGGAAGAUAAGUCAGAUGUGAAAUUCCAUGGCUCAACUGUGGCGCUGCAUCCGAAACUAUAUUUCUUGAGUGAUGGAGAGGAAAGUGGAAUUCCUAGUGUAGCGGUGAAAUGCGUAGAUAUUAGGAGGAACACCAGUGGCGAAGGCGACUUUCUGGACAUUAACUGACGCUGAGGCGCGAAAGCGUGGGGAGCAAACAGGAUUAGAUACCCUGGUAGUCCACGCUGUAAACGAUGGAUACUAGGUGUAGGAGGUAUCGACCCCUUCUGUGCCGGAGUUAACACAAUAAGUAUCCCACCUGGGGAGUACGGCCGCAAGGUUGAA